UCCACGCCCUAAACCGAAUGAAUGUUAGUCGUCGGGAUGCAAGUCAUUUCGGUUGAUGCAGUUAACACAUUAAACAUUCCGCCUGGGGAGUACGGUCGCAAGAUUAAAACUCAAAGGAAUAGACGGGGACCCGCACAAGUGGUGGAGCAUGUGGUUUAAUUCGAAGAUACGCGAAGAACCUUACCUAGCCUUGACAUUGAUAGAAUCCCGUAGAGAUACAGGAGUGCCCUUCG
RNAcentral lists this ribosomal RNA (233 nucleotides) under uncultured bacterium. RNAcentral's name for it is "partial 16S ribosomal RNA". It matches the Rfam family "Bacterial small subunit ribosomal RNA", at positions 794 to 1023 of the family's 1533-position model. The record is from RNAcentral.